UACGUAGGGGGCUAGCGUUGUCCGGAAUCACUGGGCGUAAAGGGCGCGUAGGCGGGCCUCCAAGUCCGGGGUGAAAUCCUCCAGCCUAACUGGAGAAGAGCCUCGGAGACUGGGGGCCUCGAGGGAGGUAGGGGCGUGCGGAACUAUGGGUGGAGCGGUGAAAUGCAUUGAUAUCCAUAGGAACUCCGGUGGCGAAGGCGGCACGCUGGACCUCUUCUGACGCUGAGGCGCGAAAGCCAGGGGAGCAAACGGG
This 253-nucleotide ribosomal RNA is filed under the name uncultured bacterium. RNAcentral describes it as "partial 16S ribosomal RNA". It matches the Rfam family "Bacterial small subunit ribosomal RNA", at positions 524 to 776 of the family's 1533-position model. The record is from RNAcentral.